This 293-nucleotide ribosomal RNA is filed under the name uncultured Acidobacteriota bacterium. RNAcentral's name for it is "uncultured Acidobacteria bacterium partial 16S ribosomal RNA". The record is from RNAcentral. Lineage: Bacteria; Pseudomonadati; Acidobacteriota.
GGACUACUGGGGUAUCUAAUCCCGUUCGCUCCCCUAGCUUUCGCGCUUCAGCGUCAGUGUCAGCCCAGCAACCCGCCUUCGCCGCAGGUGUUCCUCUCGAUAUCUACGCAUUUCACCGCUACACCGAGAAUUCCAGUUGCCCCUUCUGCACUCUAGCCCCGCAGUUUCGGCUGACCUUUCCGGGUUAAGCCCGGAGAUUUCACAGUCGACUUGCGGUGGCCGCCUACGCGCCCUUUACGCCCAGUAAAUCCGAACAACGCUUGCUCCCCCCGUAUUACCGCGGCUGCUGGCAC